Molecule: ribosomal RNA, 425 nt
Filed under: uncultured bacterium
Lineage: Bacteria
Description: partial 16S ribosomal RNA
Rfam family: Bacterial small subunit ribosomal RNA
Source: RNAcentral
GAAUAUUGGACAAUGGGCGAAAGCCUGAUCCAGCCAUGCCGCGUGUGUGAAGAAGGUCCUCGGAUUGUAAAGCACUUUAAGAUGGGAGGAAGGGCAGUAAGCGAAUACCUUGCUGAUUUGACGUUACCGACAGAAUAAGCACCGGGUAACUCGAGGCCGGCAGCCGCGGUAAAACAGAGGGUGCAAGCGUUAAGUGGAAUUACUGGGCGUAGAGCGCGCGUAGGUUGUUCGUUAAGUUGGAUGUGAAAUCCCCGGGCUCAACCUGGGAACUGCAUCCAAAACUGGCGAGCUAGAGUAGGGCAGAGGGUGGUGGAAUUUCCUGUGUAGCGGUGAAAUGCGUAGAUAUAGGAAGGAACACCAGUGGCGAAGGCGACCACCUGGGCUCAUACUGACACUGAGGUGCGAAAGCGUGGGGAGCAAACAGG